ACUAUUUUGGCAGAUAAGUGCGAUUGAUUUAGAAUCUUUAUAUGUAGGUUAUACUAUAAAUAGUA
Molecule: transfer RNA, 65 nt
Filed under: Anaplecta sp. 1 ZQW-2020
Lineage: Eukaryota; Metazoa; Arthropoda; Insecta; Blattodea; Anaplectidae
Description: tRNA-Leu
Source: RNAcentral